RNAcentral lists this ribosomal RNA (646 nucleotides) under uncultured bacterium. RNAcentral describes it as "bacterial SSU rRNA". It matches the Rfam family "Bacterial small subunit ribosomal RNA", at positions 100 to 736 of the family's 1533-position model. The record is from RNAcentral.
GAAAGGGUUAGUAACGGGUAGGUAACGUACCCUGUGCUUUGGGAUAGCGUCAGUAACUUCGGUUACUUUCCGAAAGGGGCGGUAAUACCAAAUAAUAUCACUCGUCGAUAGGCGAAUGAUCAAAGAUUUAUCGGCACGGGAGCGGCCUGCCUCCUAUCAGCUUGUUGGUGAGGUAACGGCUCACCAAGGCAACGACGGGUAGCGGGACUGAGAGGUUGACCCGCAACAUCGGGACUGAGACACUGCCCGGACCUCCACGGAGGGCUGCAGUAACGGAUAUUGCGCAAUGGGCGAAAGCCUGACGCAGCGACGCCGCGUGUAGGAGGAAGUCCUUCGGGAUGUAAACUACUGUCAGGGGGAAGAAAGUGCGCUUCGGCGUAUUGAUCUAACCCAGAGGAAGUCACGGCUAACUUCGUGCCAGCAGCCGCGGUAAGACGAAGGUGGCAAGCGUUGUUCGGUAUUACUGGGCUUAAAGCGUGUGUAGGCGGAAAUGUAAGCGUUGCGUGAAAGCCCCCGGCUUAACCGGGGAAUUGCGCAACGAACUGCGUUUCUUGAGGCAAGUAGGGGUACAUGGAACUCUUGGUGGAGCGGUGGAAUGCGUAGAUAUCAAGAGGAACGCCAGUGGAGAAAUCGGUGUACUGGGCUU